CAGCCGCCGCGGGAAUACGUAGGGUGCGAGCGUUAAUCGGAAUUACUGGGCGUAAAGCGUGCGCAGGCGGUUAUAUAAGACAGAUGUGAAAUCCCCGGGCUCAACCUGGGACCUGCAUUUGUGACUGUAUAGCUAGAGUACGGUAGAGGGGGAUGGAAUUCCGCGUGUAGCAGUGAAGUGCGUAGAUAUGCGGAGGAACACCGAUGGCGAAGGCAAUCCCCUGGACCUGUACUGACGCUCAUGCACGAAAGCGUGGGGAGCAAACAGGAUUAGAUACCCCAGUAGUCCCUGUCUCUUAUAC
This 301-nucleotide ribosomal RNA is filed under the name uncultured bacterium. Its description in RNAcentral is "partial 16S ribosomal RNA". It matches the Rfam family "Bacterial small subunit ribosomal RNA", at positions 509 to 807 of the family's 1533-position model. The record is from RNAcentral.